UCUCCGUUGGUGAACCAGCGGAGGGAUCAUUACUGAGUUUACAACUCCCAAACCCUUUGUGAACAUACCUUUUUGUUGCUUCGGCGGGUAGGGUCUCCGCGACCCUCCCGGCCUCCCGCCUCCGGGCGGGUCGGCGCCCGCCGGAGGAUAACCAAACUCUGAUUUAACGACGUUUCUUCUGAGUGGUACAAGCAAAUAAUCAAAACUUUUAACAACGGGUCUCUUGGUUCUGGCAUCGAUGAAGAACGCAGC
Molecule: unclassified non-coding RNA, 252 nt
Filed under: uncultured fungus
Lineage: Eukaryota; Fungi
Description: sequence contains ITS1, 5.8S rRNA gene
Rfam family: 5.8S ribosomal RNA (bases 204-252)
Source: RNAcentral